UCGAACGAUGAUGCUGGUGCUUGCACUGGUGGAUUAGUGGCGAACGGGUGAGUAACACGUGAGUAACCUGCCCCUGACUUCGGGAUAAGCCCGGGAAACUGGGUCUAAUACCGGAUAUGACUUCCUGCUGCAUGGCAGGGGGUGGAAAGAUUUAUCGGUUGGGGAUGGACUCGCGGCCUAUCAGCUUGUUGGUGAGGUAAUGGCUCACCAAGGCGACGACGGGUAGCCGGCCUGAGAGGGUGACCGGCCACACUGGGACUGAGACACGGCCCAGACUCCUACGGGAGGCAGCAGUGGGGAAUAUUGCACAAUGGGCGAAAGCCUGAUGCAGCGACGCCGCGUGAGGGAUGACGGCCUUCGGGUUGUAAACCUCUUUCAGUAGGGAAGAAGCCCCUUUUUGGGGGUGACGGUACUUGCAGAAGAAGCGCCGGCUAACUACGUGCCAGCAGCCGCGGUAAUACGUAGGGCGCAAGCGUUAUCCGGAAUUAUUGGGCGUAAAGAGCUCGUACGCGGUUUGUCGCGUCUGCCGUGAAAGUCCGAGGCUCAACCUCGGAUCUGCGGUGGGUACGGGCAGACUAGAGUGAUGUAGGGGAGACUGGAAUUCCUGGUGUAGCGGUGAAAUGCGCAGAUAUCAGGAGGAACACCGAUGGCGAAGGCAGGUCUCUGGGCAUUUACUGACGCUGAGGAGCGAAAGCAUGGGGAGCGAACAGGAUUAGAUACCCUGGUAGUCCAUGCCGUAAACGUUGGGCACUAGGUGUGGGGGACAUUCCACGUUUUCCGCGCCGUAGCUAACGCAUUAAGUGCCCCGCCUGGAGAGUACGGCCGCAAGGCUAAAACUCAAAGGAAUUGACGGGGGCCCGCACAAGCGGCGGAGCAUGCGGAUUAAUUCGAUGCAACGCGAAGAACCUUACCAAGGCUUGACAUGUUCCAGACCGGGCCAGAGAUGGUCUUUCCCCUUUUGGGGCUGGUUCACAGGUGGUGCAUGGUUGUCGUCAGCUCGU
This 1001-nucleotide ribosomal RNA is filed under the name Arthrobacter sp. SK76. RNAcentral describes it as "bacterial SSU rRNA". It matches the Rfam family "Bacterial small subunit ribosomal RNA", at positions 62 to 1063 of the family's 1533-position model. Lineage: Bacteria; Bacillati; Actinomycetota; Actinomycetes; Micrococcales; Micrococcaceae. The record is from RNAcentral.